UACGUAGGGGGCAAGCGUUGUCCGGAUUUAUUGGGCGUAAAGAGCGUGUAGGCGGCCAAACAGGUCAGCUGUGAAAACUCGAGGCUCAACCUCGAGACGUCGGUUGAAACCGUUUGGCUAGAGUCCGGAAGAGGAGAGUGGAAUUCCUGGUGUAGCGGUGAAAUGCGCAGAUAUCAGGAAGAACACCCGUGGCUAAGGCGGCUCUCUAGUACGGUACUGACGCUGAGACGCGAAAGCGUGGGGAGCGAACAGG
RNAcentral lists this ribosomal RNA (253 nucleotides) under uncultured bacterium. Its description in RNAcentral is "partial 16S ribosomal RNA". It matches the Rfam family "Bacterial small subunit ribosomal RNA", at positions 524 to 776 of the family's 1533-position model. The record is from RNAcentral.